AUUGAACGCUGGCGGCAUGCCUUACACAUGCAAGUCGAACGGCAGCACGGGGGCAACCUGGUGGCGAGUGGCGAACGGGUGAGUAACGCAUCGGAAUGUACCCAGUAGUGGGGGAUAACUAGUCGAAAGAUUAGCUAAUACCGCAUACGCACUGAGGUGGAAAGCGGGGGAUCGCAAGACCUCGCGCUAUUGGAGCAGCCGAUGUCCGAUUAGGUAGUUGGUGGGGUAAAGGCCUACCAAGCCUGCGAUCGGUAACUGGUCUGAGAGGACGACCAGUCACACUGGGACUGAGACACGGCCCAGACUCCUACGGGAGGCAGCAGUGGGGAAUUUUGGACAAUGGGCGCAAGCCUGAUCCAGCAAUGCCGCGUGUGUGAAGAAGGCCUUCGGGUUGUAAAGCACUUUUGGCGGGAGCGAAACGGCGUUUGCUAAUACCAGACGCUAAUGACGGUACCCGCAGAAUAAGCACCGGCUAACUACGUG
RNAcentral lists this ribosomal RNA (483 nucleotides) under uncultured bacterium. Its description in RNAcentral is "bacterial SSU rRNA". It matches the Rfam family "Bacterial small subunit ribosomal RNA", at positions 30 to 507 of the family's 1533-position model. The record is from RNAcentral.